RNAcentral lists this ribosomal RNA (301 nucleotides) under uncultured bacterium. Its description in RNAcentral is "partial 16S ribosomal RNA". It matches the Rfam family "Bacterial small subunit ribosomal RNA", at positions 509 to 807 of the family's 1533-position model. The record is from RNAcentral.
CAGUCGCCGCGGGAAUACGUAGGUGGCAAGCGUUAUCCGGAAUUAUUGGGCGUAAAGGGCUCGCAGGCGGUUUCUUAAGUCUGAUGUGAAAGCCCCCGGCUCAACCGGGGAGGGUCAUUGGAAACUGGGAAACUUGAGUGCAGAAGAGGAGAGUGGAAUUCCACGUGUAGCGGUGAAAUGCGUAGAGAUGUGGAGGAACACCAGUGGCGAAGGCGACUCUCCGGUCUGUAACUGACGCUGAGGAGCGAAAGCGUGGGGAGCGAACAGGAUUAGAUACCCCAGUAGUCCCUGUCUCUUAUAC